UACGUAGGGUGCGAGCGUUGUCCGGAAUUAUUGGGCGUAAAGAGCUUGUAGGCGGUUUGUCGCGUCUGCCGUGAAAGCCCAGGGCUUAACCCUGGGUCUGCGGUGGGUACGGGCAGACUAGAGUGUGGUAGGGGAGACUGGAAUUCCUGGUGUAGCGGUGGAAUGCGCAGAUAUCAGGAGGAACACCAAUGGCGAAGGCAGAUCUCUGGGCCGUAACUGACGCUGAGGAGCGAAAGCAUGGGGAGCGAACAGG
RNAcentral lists this ribosomal RNA (253 nucleotides) under uncultured bacterium. Its description in RNAcentral is "partial 16S ribosomal RNA". It matches the Rfam family "Bacterial small subunit ribosomal RNA", at positions 524 to 776 of the family's 1533-position model. The record is from RNAcentral.